RNAcentral lists this ribosomal RNA (1098 nucleotides) under Nocardiopsis sp. Its description in RNAcentral is "bacterial SSU rRNA". It matches the Rfam family "Bacterial small subunit ribosomal RNA", at positions 33 to 1137 of the family's 1533-position model. The record is from RNAcentral. Lineage: Bacteria; Bacillati; Actinomycetota; Actinomycetes; Streptosporangiales; Nocardiopsidaceae.
ACGCGUUCGGCCGCUUACCAUGCAAGUCGAGCGGUAAGGCCCUUCGGGGUACACGAGCGGCGAACGGGUGAGUAACACGUGAGCAACCUGCCCCUGACUCCGGGAUAAGCGGUGGAAACGCCGUCUAAUACCGGAUAUGACCUUCCAGCUCAUGCUGGAGGGUGGAAAGUUUUAUCGGUCAGGGAUGGGCUCGCGGCCUAUCAGCUUGUUGGUGGGGUAAAGGCCUACCAAGGCGAUUACGGGUAGCCGGCCUGAGAGGGCGACCGGCCACACUGGGACUGAGACACGGCCCAGACUCCUGCGGGAGGCAGCAGUGGGGAAUAUUGCACAAUGGGCGAAAGCCUGAUGCAGCGACGCCGCGUGGGGGAUGACGGCCUUCGGGUUGUAAACCUCUUUUACCACCAACGCAGGCUCCACGUUCUCGUGGGGUUGACGGUAGGUGGGGAAUAAGGACCGGCUAACUACGUGCCAGCAGCCGCGGUAAUACGUAGGGUCCGAGCGUUGUCCGGAAUUAUUGGGCGUAAAGAGCUCGUAGGCGGCGUGUCACGUCUGCUGUGAAAGACCGGGGCUUAACUCCGGUUCUGCAGUGGAUACGGGCAUGCUAGAGGUAGGUAGGGGAGACUGGAAUUCCUGGUGUAGCGGUGAAAUGCGCAGAUAUCAGGAGGAACACCGGUGGCGAAGGCGGGUCUCUGGGCCUUACCUGACGCUGAGGAGCGAAAGCAUGGGGAGCGAACAGGAUUAGAUACCCUGGUAGUCCAUGCCGUAAACGUUGGGCGCUAGGUGUGGGGACUUUCCACGGUUUCCGCGCCGUAGCUAACGCAUUAAGCGCCCCGCCUGGGGAGUACGGCCGCAAGGCUAAAACUCAAAGGAAUUGACGGGGGCCCGCACAAGCGGCGGAGCAUGUUGCUUAAUUCGACGCAACGCGAAGAACCUUACCAAGGUUUGACAUCACCCGUGGACCUGUAGAGAUACAGGGUUCAUUUAGUUGGUGGGUGACAGUGGUGCAUGGCUGUCGUCAGCUCGUGUCGUGAGAUGUGGGUAAGUCCCGCAACGAGCGCAACCCUUGUUCUAUGUUGCCAGCCACGUCAUGGUGGGGGA